GAGCGGAAAGGCCCUUCGGGGUACUCGAGCGGCGAACGGGUGAGUAACACGUGAGCAAUCUGCCCUUAGCUUCGGGAUAGCUCCGGGAAACCGGAAUUAAUACCGGAUAUGACCCCGGCCGACAUCGGCUGUGGUGGAAAGAUUUAUCGGCUAGGGAUGAGCUCGCGGCCUAUCAGCUUGUUGGUGGGGUAACGGCCCACCAAGGCGACGACGGGUAGCCGGCCUGAGAGGGCGACCGGCCACACUGGGACUGAGACACGGCCCAGACUCCUACGGGAGGCAGCAGUGGGGAAUAUUGCGCAAUGGGCGAAAGCCUGACGCAGCGACGCCGCGUGCGGGAUGAAGGCCUUCGGGUUGUAAACCGCUUUCAGCAGGGACGAAGCGAAAGUGACGGUACCUGCAGAAGAAGCGCCGUCUAACUACGUGCCAGCAGCCGCGGUAAU
This 443-nucleotide ribosomal RNA is filed under the name uncultured bacterium. RNAcentral describes it as "bacterial SSU rRNA". It matches the Rfam family "Bacterial small subunit ribosomal RNA", at positions 64 to 524 of the family's 1533-position model. The record is from RNAcentral.